This 443-nucleotide ribosomal RNA is filed under the name uncultured bacterium. RNAcentral's name for it is "partial 16S ribosomal RNA". It matches the Rfam family "Bacterial small subunit ribosomal RNA", at positions 338 to 795 of the family's 1533-position model. The record is from RNAcentral.
CCUACGGGCAGCAGCAGUGGGGAAUAUUGGGCAAUGGGCGCAAGCCUGACCCAGCAACGCCGCGUGAAGGAAGAAUGCUUUCGGGUUGUAAACUUCUUUUAUCAGGGACGAAGCGAGUGACGGUACCUCCUGUAUAUGCCACGGCUAACUACGUGCCAGCAGCCGCUGUAAUACGUCGGUGGCAAUCGUUAUCCGGAUUUGCUGGGUGUAAAGGGCUUGUAGGCGGGAUGUUAAGUCAGAUGUGAAAGUUAUGGGCUCAAGCCUAAUAUUGCAUUUGAUACUGUAAUCCUUGAGUGCAGUUGAGGGAGGCGGAAUUCGGGGUGUAGCGGGGAAAUGCGUAGAUAUAAGGAGGAACACCAGUGGCGAAGGCGGACUGCUAGACAGCAACUGACACUGAUGCGCGAAAGUGUGGGGAGCAAACAGGAUUAGAUACCCGAGUAGUC